UGGGGAAUUUUGGACAAUGGGCGAAAGCCUGAUCCAGCAAUGCCGCGUGUGUGAAGAAGGCCUUCGGGUUGUAAAGCACUUUUGUCCGGAAAGAAAUCCUCUGGGUUAAUACCUCGGGGGGAUGACGGUACCGGAAGAAUAAGCACCGGCUAACUACGUGCCAGCAGCCGCGGUAAUACGUAGGGUGCAAGCGUUANNGAAUUACUGGGCGUAAAGCGUGCGCAGGCGGUUUUGUAAGACGGAUGUGAAAUCCCCGGGCUUAACCUGGGAACUGCAUUCGUGACUGCAAGGCUAGAGUAUGGCAGAGGGGGGUAGAAUUCCACGUGUAGCAGUGAAAUGCGUAGAGAUGUGGAGGAAUACCGAUGGCGAAGGCAGCCCCCUGGGCCAAUACUGACGCUCAUGCACGAAAGCGUGGGGAGCAAACAGGAUUAGCAUACCCUGGUAGUCCACGCCCUAAACGAUGUCAACUAGUUGUUGGGGAUUCAUUUCCUUAGUAACGUAGCUAACGCGUGAAGUUGACCGCCUGGGGAGUACGGUCGCAAGAUU
This 546-nucleotide ribosomal RNA is filed under the name uncultured bacterium. RNAcentral describes it as "partial 16S ribosomal RNA". It matches the Rfam family "Bacterial small subunit ribosomal RNA", at positions 355 to 895 of the family's 1533-position model. The record is from RNAcentral.